This is a long non-coding RNA of Taeniopygia guttata (zebra finch), 3056 nucleotides long. Lineage: Eukaryota; Metazoa; Chordata; Aves; Passeriformes; Estrildidae. The record is from Ensembl.
AAUGCCACUUCCUGCCCAACAGGGUAGUUCUUUUCAUUGCUGCAAACAAUUUGCACUUGCUUAUUUUUGUAACAAUUAUAUCUGACUUAACAUGCAAAAAAUAUUCCAGGUGCUUUAGUUCAAUUUCUGUGCUUGAGAGGACUUUCUCAUCUCUACCAGAGUGUCUUGUGAGAAUAAAAUACUUGACGUUCCACUAGUUACUGUCUCUAAUCACAGAAUAUUCUGAUUUGGAAGUGACCCACAAAAAUUCUUAAGCCAAACUUUCAAAUUAAUGGCUCAUACAGGAAUCAAACCCCCAACCCUGGCAUUAUCAGCACCAUGCUAUAACCAACUGAGCCAGUUUCAGCUCUGUAAAUUUUCACUCAAAUUCUGUAUACAGAAUCCUUGUUUACAUGUAAUUUAUCCACUUGACAUGAUAUUUAAACUGGCCAUACUGGAACAAGGAUCAAACUCCAUCACAGUGCCAAACCUGGACCCCCCAGUAACUUCUAGAGUUUGUAUUUCACAGCCACGUUCCACCACAACUGGCACUGUACAAAUGUAAACACCUAAGAAACAAUUCUUGUUCUAAUCUGUUUCCAGGUUCAGAUCCUCAUAUGGACAGUUUCAUGCAUCACAAGAAUUGGCAUUAGAGUUUCCCCAGAAACAUCCAGUGUAUUUCUUGGGUUCUAAAAAUUUUAAUAGGGAAAAAAUUGUUUCAAAAUAUCUUGUAGUAAAAACUUCAGUGACAAAUACUUUGUAUAUCAAGUCUGACAUCACAUUUUCCAUUUAUGUUCAGAGAAAAAUUGGUUGCAUUAGGAGAGUAAUGUGGAGCUUACACUGUUCCAUGAAACCAGUUACCCUUCCCUGCCUGCCCAUGCUGCAGCAGCCCCCCACCCCCACCCAUCUCACUUUUCCACACACCCAAAGACUUGUUGCUCUGCUGGCAUGACUGAGAACAGCCUUUGUACUCACAGCAAUGCUUCUGCUUGUCCAGCUGGGAUCAGCAGCAGCAGGCUGGCUUUGUUAGCUCCAAGUGCCCAGCCAACAGGCAGGCACAGCCUCACCAAGGGCUCACAGACAGCAGCACCCAGGGCAAAACAAGGCACAGGGACCACUUCUAGUGCAGCUGGAGCAGAUUCUGACGCUGGUGGGAAUUCUUGGAGGGUGGAUUGGGGUGUGAGGAGUCAUAGCCAACACCACCACAUGGAAUCUAAGUUAAGCUAUCCUUAGCAUUUAAUGGCAUUUAGUGCUCUGAGAGGUGAUGGUGCUCUGAUUGAUGAACCCAAUGGUCUGUAGCUACAGCCACCAGCACCAGGAGAGGACAUGUUGGAUGUUGUAGCCCACUGGGGCUUUUUCAGGGUCUGACCCUGCCAGCAGGUCAGGGUACCAGGGCUCAGUGUGCUGAACUUCCCCUGAGAGGAGAAUCUCAGUUCAUCUCACUGCAGCAAAGGGAGGCUGCAGAGCCCUGGGGCAGCUCUCUGAGGCUGCCAGAGCAAAGCUGGGCACCACCUGUAUCACACCCCUGCCAGCCUGAGAGUGCUUUAGGGUAACACUGAGGGACUUUACCCUUCUCUGCAUUCACAUCAGCUGCGAAUCCUGACUUUCCUUCUACCUCCUCCCAGUUCCUCUUCAGCUUAAUUUACACAGCCACAUAAAUUGAUACAGUCACAUUUACAUCUGAAAGGCUUGGUACAUUCACAGAUCAGCAAGUGCUCGCUGUGUGAGUGAAAAAAACCUCAGCAAUACCAGCAAAAAAUUGCACUUCUGAUUGUAUCAAACCUGUACUUUACAUAUCACUACCCCCUCCAUAGCUAUUUUAAUUAAUUUACAGUAAAAGAUAACAACAGGGAAGUUACAUUUUUAAUGACAAAUGAAAGUGAAGACUUUGAUAGAGGUUAUUUUGUCUGGCAUAAUAAUCACUCUUUAAACAAAAACUGAUCAAUGAUUUGCAUGUUUAUAACAAGUUGUAUAUGGCACAGUAGUAUCUAGUUUAGUUUCUCAAGGAAGACAAAAGCACCCUUCUAAUACUCACAUGUAUAUAUAUAUAUAUAUAUAUAUAUAUAUAUAUAAUACUGGCCAGUUGCAUUCAUUUGGCUCUGUUACUUUUAGCUCCUACUCCCUGCUGAGUAGUGUAAACAAGCUAACAAGUGGUUUUAAAAUAAUGUUUGUGAAGUUGUAUUUUAAAGCCAGAAGAAAUGCAAUAUCUUGAACAAAGAAAAAUCCAAGGCAGCAGACAAAUAAACUAAUAUUUUCAUGUCAAGCAAAAUUUUUAAGUAAAAAGCAAUCAUUUUGACUAGAUUGUAGUAAGUUUUCAGAUUGCUUAUUUCCCUUUAGAUUAUCUUGUAUUUUUUUCCCCAUACAUACAAAAUCUUGGCAUUUUCAUUUCAACGUAAUUUAAUUUUUUUCAGAGGUGUUCAUUUUUAAUUCAUUCCUAUAUUUUAUCCUUCUCCUCAUAGAGAAAUAUUUCAUUUCUUAUGGAAAGUGGAAAUCAGACUGUACAAAAAAAAAAUCCUGUUUUCAAACAAACAGUCUAGCUCAGAAGUCAGCUAAGGUAAAUAUAAGACAAAAUAAUUUUGUCAAUCCGAUUGAUUUUUAACUUCAGAGGCUGACCCAGCUACAGCAGCCAGAGAAGGUGAGGUGUGAAGGCUCACAAACAAAAGAACAGAAUCUCCCCCCAUAGUCCUCAAAAGCCUAUAGCAGAAAACGAGAUUAACACAGACACAAAAAGAACAAAUUGUGUAAACUAAUUGUGCACUUUAUUAUCUGCUUUUGCAGAGUCCGAAACUGAAGACAGCAAUAAUAUUUUAAUUAGGGGAUAGUUUAAGAAUUUGAUAUUGGGAUGCUCUGUAAGUGAAAUUCAUUGAGAUCUAAGCAAAGUCCUGUUCUUGAGACCUUUGUGUACCCAAAAAAGUCAUCCUUGCAGUGUGCACAAAUUGAGUGAUGGGGAUUUACCAGGGUUUUUAUGCUUUAAAUCACUCCACUGCCAUAUGUACUUACUAUGGCUGACCUCAUACCAGAAGUGUCAGUUUAUGGGGGCUUAUGCCUCCAAAAAUAAAGGAAUCAAGAUAUUAAAA